This is a small nuclear RNA of Ictidomys tridecemlineatus (thirteen-lined ground squirrel), 104 nucleotides long. The record is from Ensembl. NCBI's taxonomy places the organism in Eukaryota, Metazoa, Chordata, Mammalia, Rodentia, Sciuridae.
GUGCUUGCUUCCUCAGCACAUAUACUAAAAUUGGAACGACACAGAGAUUAGCAUAGCCCCUGUGCAAGGAUGACACACAAAUACAUGAAAUGUUCCAUAUUUCU